CUCGUGUUCGUGGUACACGCGAGAACAACUCACUUAGUGAAAAAUUUCCAAACAUUCGCACAACUGAAUGUUGAUAUAAAGAUAUUUUAUAUGGUUUUUCCUCCAGUUUCUCUGUAAAUUGCAACGGUAAUCAAUGUUUAAUACGCAAAAGGUAUGUAUCUUGCGGUACAGAAUCUGAAAUAUUAUAUUCUCUGCGAACAGCUGCCGAACUGUGUACAUUUUUACGAUUAAAAUGUCAACAACAUCAACUUUAUAAAUAAUCCAGUCAAACAUGUCGUAUUGUAUCAGAUAAAUAGUACAAAUGGCUGGUGCUUAGAAUAAUAUGUAUCAUAGGUUAUACCCCAUUUGAAAAUUCCUAAUAUUUAAAGUACUGAAACUGUGAAACAUGUGCUAAAAGGUAGCAGCAUAAGUAUUACGGAAUAACCAUAUGGUAUUACUAUUAGAGGUCAUUACUGUAGAUACAUGUAUUUAGGCCAUAUAAAAAAAAAUAGUUGGUUAGCGUCCUUAGCUUUUGCCAAAAAGUGGGCGGGCGGGCGCUUUUUUUAAAAUUUUUACUAAUUUUUAACGCCUUGGUUUUACUCACUGUUAGGUCCGAAACUGGAUUUUCUUGCGCAGUACAGAUAUUUUUUUAUAUAUUUCAAAAUAUAAUUCAUACCGUCACUUUCGCACGCAAUUUCGCAAAUUAUUAACACAAUUGACUACAGUCAACAGAAAUACUACAUAUAUUAGAGCCCGUUGAUCAAUAAAAGUCGUGUUUUUUUAAAUAAAAAAUAAAAAAAAUCCUGAGCGGGGCCUUUUUUGUGGGCGGGCGGGGACGCUAACCAACUAUUUUUUUUAUGUGGCCUUACAGUGAAUAUUAAUUAACAAACAUUUAAUAACCCAGGGUGCAUUGUAAACUCUAUGCCGAAGAUACGCCAAUAUUAACUAUAGAUAGUAUUGUAAUUUGCCAAACUCACGCCGACGAUAUUCGGCAUAUUGCAUUUAAAAUGCAUGCACCCUGGCAUUUAACGAAUCCAAGGAUGUUUGCAAGCACUUUAAUUUCAUGAGUGGCGAAUUUUAUGAUCUAUUUUAUACUACUAUGGUGUGACUAUGCGUAGUUGUGUAUUAGCCUAGUAGUGUUCCUGGUACACUAAUUGCCAGUGAGAUCAUAGACGGAUUUAAUUUCAUAUUUUUUACUGGGGUGGUGCCAGAAAUUUUAGGGGGGUGAGCCGUGAGCAGGUGACUGAAGCAACAAAGUGUCACCAAACCCCAUUCUAGGGGUGGAGCGCCAGAGCUGCAAGGGGGAGUCUCAAAGUAUCCCUGGAAAUAUUGGAAAAAAAUCAUGAUUUCUAGCUUUGUAAAAAAGUUUUUUGAAGUUGUCAUUAGUGAUAUCAAUGGAUUUGGCCCGUAUGAUUGUCUGUUGAGACUUGAGAGAGUUAAAGUUAAAUUAACCUGUAAAAGUCUAAACCCAAUAGGCCAAAUAAUACACAAUAUGGUUUUACUUUUAUAAAGUCAUUGACAUUGUGUCGUUUGAAUCCGAGUACAAUUUAUGAUACAACUCCGAUAAUAUUUGGGGUGUAAAGAUUAAAUCUAGGCAAGUAUAUUUCCUAAAAGAAUUAAAAACUAAAAAUAAUAUAUAAUAGCAAGCUAUUUGCAUGACUUGAAGGCACUGCAAACUCUAUUCAGGGGAGAUAAUAGAGUUUCAAAACUUUACAAUUGCUCCAAUAAACCAGUGAAUGCAAGCGAGGAGCGAUUAGUUUCAGAGUGUUGCACUGUCUUUUUCUGUUCAAGUGUACUCCUACGUUUAUUUUGUAUUAUCAACACUCUGCAUGUUGGAGUGGACUAUUUAAUUAUUUCUUAUUAUGCCGAACAUUGGGGGGGGGGGCGGGGUUGAAAUUUUUUUGGAGGGGUGGACAUUUUGUUUGGGGAGGUUAUAGCUACACACACAAAAUCUGUCUAUGAGUGAGAUGUAGGUAUAGUCAAAUCUGAACCUCUCUAAAUGCCUUUUUAUGAUAAAGCCAAUUUGCAAAAAUAAUUCUGCUGCACAAUUUUUUAAUCUGUAAAUAUUGGAAAAGCAUUGAGUAUCAAAACCCCAAAAUACAAUCCAAAUGCAGGAAAUGCUAUUAAUUUCUUUGACACAUUUAAUAAAGCAUACUAAAAUCUCAAUCUUUGUCUGAAAUACAGUGGUAGACCUAAAUGCUUGUAAUAUCCCAGCAUUCGUCUCUGAUUAUAAAUACAAGCUAACCCAAAUAUUCAGCUACUGAACAUUAGCUUCAUGGUGGUGUGCAAUAUAUUUACAUUUAGUAUUAAGUUAACUUGAUAAGUUGUUUGGAAGUACUGCACUGCUCAUUUUUAGUUACAUGUAAGGGAUAUACUGGUUAGUGAUUUGCCAGAUACCGGAUGGUACUGUGUUGUAGUCUACUGACCAGUCACCAAUCUGGGGAAAAUGAUAACUGGAUUAUAUAUUAUAAUAAGUGGAUACUGAACGCUACGAGGAGUCAUGGACAAUAUUUUACUAUUUUUCCUUUUCCCAUAAUUUGUUCCAUUGGCACAGAGGUCAGCAGGCAAUCUGACUACAGCAGUUUACAUCAUGCAAACAUUCUCUGCAUGGGACAUGCCCAGUAAUUACUCCUGCUUCACAUUUUUAACACACACAAAAAUCAAAUGAAACAAUUUUCAGUUUCAUGGUUAAUAAAGUUCCAGACCUAUCCAGUAAAUAUCCAGCAAAUUUUAAUUAUCAGAUGUCUGAUGUGAGUGGUAUCUGGAUCCAGCACAUCUCUAAUUUUAGCAAUACAUUAGACUAAAGUUUGUUUUGUAACAAAAAUUGAACCAAUAAACCAUAAGAUACUAGAUAUUUGCAGGGUCUGAAAUUUAUAUUUUUUCUCAGUAUCCAACUGGGAUACCAGGAUUCAUAGUUUAGUACCCCCCCCCCCGAGAAUCCAGCAUCCCACUUCUGGUUACCGGUACCAUAAAUAUUAAUGUAUUAUACCCUGUCCCAUCCAAAUAAGUUGCCAUAACUCUCACUGUUGCAAAUUACAAUAACAACAGGAGACUCGCCAGUCAACAACUAAACAAUUCAUUAAUACACUGAAUUGUACAUACAGUAAUCAUUCAACAAACUUCUAAUGUAUAUGGUAGUCCUCAAUGAGGAAAGGCUGGCAGCAAACUGAUAGUAUUCAAAAGCCAUCAGGAGCUCGUCAAAGGUGUGUAAGUGGUUUUGAAUACCCAAACCGUGACUGACUGGAUACUAAGAAAAUUUCAAACAUUAAAUGUUUGAAAUUUUCUUAGUAUCCAGUCAGUCACGGUUUGGGUAUUCAAAACCAAAUUUUUGGUAUCGCGUGGAUAUCGGGAUACUGCAAAUUUCAGACCCUGUAUGUGGCACAGUACUUAGGGUUGUCCCCUCCCAUAACAAUACAUGUUUACUUUGUAUGUGUGCAAGUUUAUAAAUAUAAUAUUUUAUAUUCUACAUAUAGUGUUUUAUAUCAUAGUAUUUUAUAUUCUACGAUAUUAUAAAAGACUUUGCUUCAAUUACAACAUUAUUUUCAGUUAAUUUAUGUGGAAACAUUGUCAACAAUUGGUUUUGGAGGCAUUGAUGCAAAUGGCUUCUCAUCUGUGAUUGAAAAAACACCAGAUUCUUCAAAGAAAUUCCUUUUGCCAAGGCAAGAGCGUUUGCAAUUGCAAAAAGGCCACAAUCACUUUCUCCUAUCUGGUUCUGGCACAUACAAGCUUUCACUCUAACUGGUUGUUGUUCAUCUGUCCUGUCACUGUAAACAUGUAGAAGCUGACAACCAAGCGUUGAUGAAAUAGAUGGUUUCAUUGAGUCGUACACAGUUAUAUUCCCACCAGAUACACUUGAAACUACCCAGUGCAUAUUGCCAGAAUGGUGUAUUUGGAUACCACAUGUUGCUGUUGAUGGACAAGGUGGUGAUUUCUUACUGGCUACACGUAAUGAAUUUGCUAGACCCUUCACAUUUGGAAACUGUUUGUGAAUAAGGUCUUGAGCAGAGUUAAUGAUACUGUCAUUUAGCCAUGCAUGAUUGCUUUGCAAUAUGUCCUCAUCUUCUUUCCUAAGCCCAAGGGAAGGAACCCACAUUGUGCUACGACUCGGUUUUUCUGCAUUGUCAUCUUGACAUGUUAAAUUAAGUCAACAACAUUCUUUGGUGGAUUUUUUAUAUAUUUGGGAAUUGUCCUGGCAGGAACUUUGUUUACAGAGAUGUUCACUCUGUAUUGCUUCCUCAUAAUUUCUGCACGGCGUCCAACUCGUUUGGCAAAUGGAUGACGAGGCUUACCAUAUUUUCUUUCAGGAAGGCAAUCUUUAACAUCUGCUUUUUCUUUCCUUGCUCUUUUUGGUAAUUUCUUCCUCAUAUUUCCCUCUUCAUUCGUUGAAGAUGUUGUUGCCUUUCUCUUCUUUCUCUUUUUCUGACCAGUCUCAUUUUCCAAAACGAUGCCUUUGUCUGAUUUGACCAAUUGUUCAGUUUCUUUAAAUAUCUGUUGAAGUUGACCUUCGAGUUUCUCAAGGCUUGGCGUAUCCUUUAACAAAUAAGUCAGUCCGUUUACCUUUUUUAAAAUAACUCUGCAUUUAGCCUGCAAAAGUUUUUUGCUUGUUUUUCUUCUUGGCGGAAGAUCUUGUGUUUUACCAGGAUCAUUUAAACCAUCUUCAACUUCAAAUGUUGUGUUUUCGUUGGUCACAUCACUUAUUGCAUUACCAGAUGCCAAGCUAGAUAGCUUGAAAUAAAAAUUAAGCAAACUUUCAGAUAGAUUAUCUACACUACGACUACCAUGCAAAAUUGCAUCGGAAGGUAAAAGGGAAUGUAGCCAGCACUGUCUAGUAUAUUGUCCUUUAUAAGAUUCAUUUUAACUACAGAAAACAUAAGUUAAACUGAUCAAUCUCUCUUUUAUUUAGUUGUCUUCAAACACAAGACUACUAGUAAGCAUGUAAUAAAAGGGAUUUAACGUUAUUUUCUUACUCUGACAACUACAAAUCGACUAUCAUCAUCUGUAUCAAUAGACUGCUUUGUACAAGCCCGACUUACCUUUUCUUGUUCCUGACGAUUGUCUUGGGAUACUGCUGGAGAUUGGUUCAGGCAGAUCUCGUCUAGAUUUAAUAUGGAGAGGCUUUUGUACAAUGGGCUUAAAUCAUUCCAUUUUCGUUCUGUAUUUUUGAAUACAGCACAAAAAUGUUUGCAGGGAAGCUUAGUUUUGUUCCAGUCUGCGCAUUGACAACUUGGAUGGCUUGAUUCAUCACCAAAAUUGACAGUAUACCACUUGUCAGAAGAAGUCGUGCUCUGAACUAAGUAUUUCUCAUCCUCCGUUUUUUUAACAGCCUUACUUGUGUGCCAGCAAUCUUCCCAUCUUUUCAAAACAUGGGCAACCACAAACCUUGGACGGUUCCGUAAAAACUCGGGAAUAUCUUUGUUGUACAUUCGAUAGCCUGACGAAUACUGGACAUUCAGUGAGACAUAUCUGCAAUAAUAAUAAAGACAUGUUGUCUCUUGGGAGGCGAAGACAUAGGUAACGAAGAGUGGAAGCUGAGAACAAAUGAAGUCUUAGUUUCACUAAUAUGUGAUAACGCUGAAAGAUUCUAAUGACGAAAAAACGAUGACAGCUAUUAUCUUGACAAAGCGUAGUUGUCUGUCAAAAUUUAUGCAAUUAAACAGUGUUAUAAACUUACUUUAAAUAGGAGUUAGGCAGAAAGUUUUCAAUGACCACAGACAGCAUUUCACUAAGAGAGCAAUUUCUGUAGCCAACCAGAUAUUCAUAUUUUAAUGCUUCAUUCUGACGCUCUACACCAUUGUUUGUAUGGACUGCCACUUCCAUGUCUUCUAUGCGAAAUGCUUGUACCCAUCUCUAAGAAUGUAAAAUAAACAUUUGUGAACGACACACAAAAAGGCUUCAAACAAAAGUAUUAACCGAAUUUGAAAGUAAGAAUAAGAUUUUUCGAAAGGUUUUUCGUAUUUGGAUGGAUGAAAAAGUGUUUGAAAAGAAUGAUUAUGAAUUUAAAUUUUAAGGUAUCAAGACGAAUCGUUUUUGCAUAUCCUAAACAACACGGCAUCUCGUGCUGUAUUUAUUUAUUGGAAACAUUUAUAUAAAGUAUAACUGAUUUUAAACUAUGCACCUUUGCAUUUGGUAACCACUUUCCUUCUUGCCAUUUUUGGAGUUUCAAGGAAGACUUCCAUAAAGUGCUUUCUUUCAUGAUUUUCACUGCAUCUUCAAACUCCUUUGUUGUGGUUGAGCGGGCAAUAGAACGAAGGUAGCGCAGAAUCUCAUCUUUGUGCUCACUUACACCAUGGUCAGAUUUGCUGAUCCAUUCACCUCAAGCUUUUUCUCGAUGGAAGUCACAUAGAAAUACAGUGCUUUCUACAAUGGAUAAUUAUUUCGUUAUAAUUAUUUAUUAUAAUCUUGUAGACAAUAUAAUUCCUAGUGGUGAUAAUUCACACUCGUCUCUCUAUAGGUUUUUACAUCGACUCAGUAUCGUCAUAUAUAAGCCAUAGAUACACCAAGUAAUAAAGAAGAUCUUGGAUAUCAGUAUACAAUUAUACUGAUAUCCAAGAUCUUGUUUAUUACUUGGUGUGCACAUGGCUCACAUGGUUCAACAUAUUGCAACUAUCGGUUCUCAAUUACUUGGCACAAACUGGCAGAUAAAUAUUCCAACAUUUCAUGUUACGUGUAAAUUUAUAUUAUUACUGAUUUUCAACAGAUUCUACUGUCCUACUUUAUCCAGACUCCAGAGUACGAUUAUAAAUUUGUCUAUUUUAAUCUGAUGAAGGCAGCAAAAAAGACAUAAUAAUUAAAACUAACUGCACCACAGCUUACCAGGAAAUAUAGACUCUAUAGCUUGUAUCUCCUCAUCUGCAAAAUCUACCAUAAAGUUCUGUUGUUUCCAAUGAGGGUUCCAACGUCGCAAUAUCGCCAGUGCUUCUUUAAUGCUAUCAAUGUCUUCUUGUUGAAUGACAAAGAGUCCAACAACUUGGUAGCCGACAUUGGUUUUCACACAAAGGAAAAAGAGUGGAAGUGCAUACCUUGUUGUUCGGUAAGUGGCAUCAAGAAGGCACAUGUUUCCAUAUCUUGCAAGUAAUCGGCGUUGUUCUUCAGACUGGUAACAAAACAACAGAUUAUUGUGUUGUGUAGGAGAUGGCGUAGCUUUAAUAUCGUCAAUAUCAUCUUCAGUGUCUUCAUCAUCAGCCCCAGAGGUAGACGCAUCUUCAGGCUUUUUAUCUGUGUCGGGCUGGGAAGUGUGAGCUCUGAAGAAGAACAUGUCGCCUGGCUUUUGUGCUUUCCAGCUAGAAACCAGGUGCUGCAGAUAAUCUUGGUCAAUGUGGGUGAAACGUUUUUCUCUCUUAAUUUUACCGAUCUCGUUUGCGAUAUCCUUCCUUCUGGGAAAAUAUCUUCUUCUUGUUUUGGGUGGAAUAGCUGUGCCUUUGAAAAGGUCGUUCUUUACAUAAUGCUCCAAGUAUCUUUUGACAUCACUCACUCGUCUAACGCUCAUCCCAAUCAGUUCUGCUAUCUUGUCUUUAAUUGCAGGAUCUAUUGCUUCACAAAUACCUGCUGCCUGUAAAAUAAUUAGGUGACUAAUAAAUAAAUAUUGCAAAUAAUCAUAUGUAAUCGACUAGUGUAUUUAAUAAAUGGCUUACUAUAUGUAGGAGAGGGAGAGAAACACCCAAUGUUUCAUUUAUUAUAACAUUCUUUGGAUUUAAUUGCUUUUCACAAAUGCAUCAUGAUUUUACACACACACACAUAAUACAGUACAUGAAUUGCUCACAUCUUUACUUGAAUAAAGGAAUAAUGGUUUUAAUACGUGCACUUCUUAAUUGGCAUCUUGUUUUUAAUAUUUAAUCUUGAAAUAUCUUUUUUAUUUCCCUGGGCUGUUACAUAUUUGGGCUAACCUUUAUUUGGAUAUUGGGUUGUUAUGUUAUUUUUAUUUAUCUUAACAUGAACAUAAAUAUGACUUUAUAACCAAGAAAAGAUGUAAUCCAAUUGUAUCAGUAAAAUUCACUUUUGAAAUUAUGAACAAAUGGAACAUGUGUUGAUUACGCGAAUUCUAAAUGUGAUUAUAGCACCAACACGUCCGUAUAAUAAUCGGAAUUUAAACACUUAACGUCGGUAAAUUAUAUACGUUUUAUGAUGAAUAUUACCUCUCCAACUAUGUGAUUAAUAUGUUCAUCUGGUCGUGGCAAUUUGACGUAAAAUCUGGACUCGUGUUUGGCACUCCCCUCCUUAAUAGAGUCGCGCAAGGUUUUGGAACUUUGCUUCCUAAACCAUGCAGUAUUACGUGGAAUCUAUAACAUAACGUAACAUAAAAUUCAUUAAUAAACACAUAUCCUCUUGAUUGUUUUAUUGAUUUGGGCUUAAUUGAAAUACAAGUAAGGUAAUAUGUCUGUUUAAAAAAUUAUACUUAAGGAUACGUAAAUAAAUUUAUCAUUUAUGACUUGGCAAUAAUAUUAACUGGUAACCAGACUACAAAAGUUAUUUGAAGACCAAUUUCUUCAACGAUGGAUUUACUGGAGGGGUGCACCCCCCUAGCCCUGGCAAGAGGGGGUGCAGGGGGUGCUAUUUUUCAUGAUAAAACAAAACAUUAUUAGAGGCCAAAUGAGAUACAGUAAUUUGAGUAAUAACAUGAUGAUAACCGAACUGUGAACAACAAUUACAAUUCGAAUACAGUAGUCAAGCAAGACUUUGCAGUAGUGAAGCAAGUUGAUGUGCGGGCGGCACACAUGGCCGACACAACUCGGCACCAGAGCUGGCAGAUCAUGCUGGAUCCAUCCCUGGCUUAAACCUUCAGUAUUUUCCCACAACCAAUUCUCAACAUAAUAUUAAAACAGUCGAAUCGUUCAGACCUCUGCUUGCUCCUCUCUUACUAAACAUUCAUUUCUACUUUUAUUUUUUUAGGCAGUAACAGAACUUUUAUUCUUUAGUAGCCACUUUUAAUGCCACUACUGAUAUGUCUAUGAUGUGCUCACUGUAUACACAGGCCACAGUGGGACUUAAAUUCUACCAUAUAACAUAUUCCAUCAAGAUAUGGUCUGGAAAACUCUACAAACUUCACCAUGCACAAAUAUUUUGAAGUUUUAAUUGUAGUAACAGUACAGCUGGGUACUGAUGCGAGGAGAUCCUGCGUUGGAUGGAUUAUGUCUAUUUUUGCCUCAGACAUGCAAUGAGCCUCAGUUUUAAAAUUAUCUUCAAAUUUGCAUAUACUGUAUGCAUGCAAAAACGUUCGCCGAGUUUCAGAUCAUGUCUUUCUCUAUUGAACUAAUUCAGUAAUUGUCUUGACUUUAAUGCUGCUGGAAAAUUAAAGUUGGAUUUCACUAAUUGAUUAAGAUUGUCUACCUUUAUGAAUGUCUAUCUUUUAUGCAAUUGACACUUGACAGUGUCUAGCAUUUGGACUUUUGUUCUUUUAAAUCGAUAUCAAUUGAAAUCUAUUUAAUUUUAUUUUUUAAAGUAAGAAUAGAUUUCAUAAUUCAUAAAUAGAUUGCAUGUAAACUUUAAUAUAUAAAUCAUACCUUGUUCUCAGGAAACUUGAAAACAUGUUUGACAGAGAUAGAUGCUGGACAAUCCUUCUUUUUCGUAUUUUGUAUAAGAAAUCGUUUCUUGAAUGUUUUGUCAUAAUUAUGUUCCCCAAUCUAAAUUAUAGUACAAACGUGAUUUAGGGGCCGAUUACAUGGCCAUGGGCGAGUUGUCCCGGCUAAGCGAGUUGAGUCGCUUUGCCGAGUUGACCCGCUUCCUAUAUGUAUUGUCUAUUAUUUUGACAUUUCGAUUACAUGCAAAGCGAGUUGUCCGUGACCGCGGCUGUAGCUUGCCGAGUCAACUCGCUUAGCCGGGACAGAAAUUGCCCACACAUCCCAUGUAAUCGCUUUUUGCCGAGUUAGCUCAGCAAAGCGGGCUGAAAACCACACUUGUGCAUGUUUUAAUUUAUUACGAUUUAC
Non-coding RNA from Paramuricea clavata, 9899 nucleotides. The record is from the annotation of a GenBank genome assembly. NCBI's taxonomy places the organism in Eukaryota, Metazoa, Cnidaria, Anthozoa, Malacalcyonacea, Plexauridae.